AUCUGGAGGGAGAGAGAGGGGCGGGGGGAGAGAGCGCUUGCCAUGGGGUUAGGAGUAGUGUUUUGAGUAUAGAAGGACGAUCCUUCCCCAACACUGUGCUGUGCUUUACAGCCUAGCAUCACAUAGUGUUCAAUCACCACAGAUUUUGUUUACCUUGGUAACAAGUCAUUGAAGUGUGAGUAACUGAAAUGCACACGCCCUCCUCACCCAAGAGCAGAUUGAGUAACACAGGAAAGAGAGCUCCAGUGUAUAUGACAAGAGUAGAUGAUAUCUUAUUACUGUUUGAUGACGAGCAUGUUGAGCCAAACUCACAUGGCUGGCUGUAGGCAGAGAGAACCAAUGUGCAAGAUUGUGGCUCUGCUUGGUCUGAUGCCUUUCCAGAAAAAUUAAUCUUUGGCUUUUCAUCUACUGCCUUGAAAGUGUUCUCCUUAUUGUUAACUGAAAAUAAAACCUUACAUGAUUAAGCAUUA
This is a long non-coding RNA of Hemicordylus capensis (graceful crag lizard), 470 nucleotides long. RefSeq lists it as uncharacterized. The record is from RefSeq and is a predicted model, not a curated record. The transcript is spliced from 3 exons. Lineage: Eukaryota; Metazoa; Chordata; Lepidosauria; Squamata; Cordylidae.